GGACAUUUUGACCCAUACAUAAGAGUGUUGGUGCCUUAUUGGGGGUUUACCAGUUUGAGUGUAAGGUAAUCUCCAUCUGAACAUAUGACAACAAUGCACAUGUCAUGAUGGCACCACUAUUUGCUGCAAAUGCAGCUGUGAAUCUUUUUAGGUAAGUCUCUUCUCCACUGCAAUUUGUCUACAUAGGCGCUUAGGGUGCACCCUACCAACUCCAGAAUUAUUUGCCAAAAAAGUUAGAAAACUACUUAGCAUAUUUUUAUUACUGUAAAAAUAGUUUGAUAGAAAACAACAUAGUUGCAUCUCUCUUAAAUUGUCCUAUCC
Pelobates cultripes (western spadefoot toad) is the source of this 321-nucleotide non-coding RNA. The record is from the annotation of a GenBank genome assembly. Lineage: Eukaryota; Metazoa; Chordata; Amphibia; Anura; Pelobatidae.